AUGGCAGCGAGGCAGUGGGUCAGGUGGGAGGAGGAGAUCUUGCUGGAGGACGAUGAUGAACACCACACGGAGUGCUUCUACCUCCGCUGCGCCCCACUCCUGGGCGGUGGUGUGAGCGAGAGGGAUCUGGCGGUGGUGGGUAAGUAUUGUCCGGACCCAGCCCCCGGGAACAUGGUGUACUCGGCGGACCCGCAGUUCCUGCGGUUCCUCCAGGAGGGAAUAACCUGUGACUCAGUGUUGGCUAUGGGGGUGACGGUGCGGGUGGAGAUCACCCAACUCAGCUGGAAGUCCAGGAAGGAGGUCAUCGACUGGCUCAACUUGCUCGUCUCAGAAAGCAGCGGCCAGGCAUCCAACAGAGGCGCUGCUAACCCGGUGAAUUCAGUGCCUGUGCAAGAGAUCUGCAUAACCAACGAACAGGCCCCUGUCCCUGCUAUCGACGAAGAGCAAGUGAUCGACCUGACCAUGUCUGACGACUAA
Molecule: ribosomal RNA, 477 nt
Filed under: Triticum aestivum (bread wheat)
Lineage: Eukaryota; Viridiplantae; Streptophyta; Magnoliopsida; Poales; Poaceae
Description: partial small subunit ribosomal RNA
Source: RNAcentral